Molecule: ribosomal RNA, 785 nt
Filed under: Placynthiella sp.
Lineage: Eukaryota; Fungi; Ascomycota; Lecanoromycetes; Trapeliales; Trapeliaceae
Description: SSU rRNA
Rfam family: Bacterial small subunit ribosomal RNA
Source: RNAcentral
UAAAAAAUUAUAAAUUUUUUAUAUUUUUUUAUGCMAGAUCGACUAUGUUGAAUAAAGUUCUAGAUAGUGUUAUGAUAAUGACAUUGCCUAUCUUUGUGUCUUGACCAAAUCACGUGCCAGCAGUCGCGGUAAUACGUGGAAGACUAGUGUUAUUCAUCUUUAUUUGGUUUAAAGGGUACCUAGACGGUUAAAAAAGUCCACAUUAUAAAGGGUACUAAUUAACUAGAGUUUUAUAUGAAAAGGGAAGUACUAANGAGUGGAGAGAUGAAAUUCUGUGAUACCUGCUUUGAGACAGGCAACGGCGAANGCAACCUUUUAUCUAAAAACUGACGUUGAGGGACGAAGGCUUAGGACACCAACAGGAUUAGAUACCCCAGCAGUCUAAGCAGACAAUGAUGAAUGUCAUAGAUNAGAUAAACACCUUUUACAUUAUUUUUUUAAUGUAAAAUGUUAUUAUUUGGUUUAUAAAUGAAAGUGUAAGCAUUCCACCUCAAGAGUAAUGUGGCAACACAUAAAGUGAAAUCAUUAGACCGUUUCUGAAACCAGUCGUGAAGUAUGUUGUUUAAUUUGUCGACCCGCAAAACACCUUACCACAAUUUGUAUAUUUGUAUCUUAAUACAUAUUACAAGCGUUGCACGGCUGUCUUCAGUUAAUGUUGUGAAAUUUUGGUUAGUUCCAUUAAAUUAACGUAAACCCUUGCUUUAGUUUUAUUAUAAAGUAGUUCACCACUAGAUUGGAUAUGAUAAUAGGGAAUAAGACAAGUCAAUCUGGCCUUAAUAUUGUGG